Molecule: unclassified non-coding RNA, 225 nt
Filed under: Hevea brasiliensis (rubber tree)
Lineage: Eukaryota; Viridiplantae; Streptophyta; Magnoliopsida; Malpighiales; Euphorbiaceae
Source: RNAcentral
AAUUUUGGAGAAUUCCGCCGACUUUAUCGGUAAAUGAGAUUCUGAAUGUACAUUAGAUGAUCCAACAUUCAGUUUUCAAGGUCCUUGAGAUCAUUUGAAAGGAUAGUUUCAUCCACAUCUGGUUCAAUUUUUGUUUCUCUCUUUGAAGGCCUUUUUCUGAUAUGAUAUGAAGCAGAAAAAACUAGUGUAUAAAGUAUUCAUACUAAAAUUGCUUUAGGAUAUGGA